Molecule: long non-coding RNA, 339 nt
Filed under: Phoenix dactylifera (date palm)
Lineage: Eukaryota; Viridiplantae; Streptophyta; Magnoliopsida; Arecales; Arecaceae
Description: long non-coding RNA (PDAC_LNC003207)
Source: RNAcentral
AAUAUAAAAGUAUUUUUAAAACUGCAUAAUUUUAAAUUAUUUAAUUAAUAAACCAAUAGUUGUACCAUAAUUUCUAAUUAAUGCAUGAUUCAGUAACUAAUUAACAUGAAUAGCUAGUUGGAAGUUGAGGCAAAAAUGCAUUUAAAAAUUAUUUUAAGACGGUGCCAAAGAUGUGAACAUUAAAAAUUAUGAAGGAAGGACUAAGUCUAAAACUCACAUAAAACUUCAAAAAUUAGUCAAAAAAUCUCUUAAAAAAGAAGAGAUGUCGGUCCAACUUGGCCUGCAUUCACUUCAUGAGCUUUUAUAAAAUAAAACCAACUUGCUUUUCUAGAUAUCACU